CCCGCUCGCCGGAAGACCAAGGGUUCCUGUCCAACGUUAAUCGGGGCAGGGUGAGUCGACCCCUAAGGCGAGGCCGAAAGGCGUAGUCGAUGGGAAACGGGUUAAUAUUCCCGUACUUGGUGUUACUGCGAAGGGGGGACGAAGAAGGCUAGGCCGGCCGGGUGACGGUUAUCCCGGUUUAAGCGUGCAGGUGGGUGGUUUUGGAAAAUCCGGACCGCCGUUAACACUGAGGCGUGAUGACGAGGCGCUACGGCGCUGAAGUGGUUGAUGCCCUGCUUCCAGGAAAAGCCUCUAAGCUCCAGGUAACAUCAAAUCGUACCCCAAACCGACACAGGUGGUCAGGUAGAGAAUACCAAGGCGCUUGAGAGAACUCGGGUGAAGGAACUAGGCAAAAUGGUGCCGUAACUUCGGGAGAAGGCACGCUGACA
RNAcentral lists this ribosomal RNA (428 nucleotides) under Salmonella enterica. RNAcentral describes it as "partial 23S ribosomal RNA". It matches the Rfam family "Bacterial large subunit ribosomal RNA", at positions 1329 to 1756 of the family's 2925-position model. The record is from RNAcentral. Lineage: Bacteria; Pseudomonadati; Pseudomonadota; Gammaproteobacteria; Enterobacterales; Enterobacteriaceae.